AUAUUGUUAUGUGUGACUUUAAUACUGCCAUUUUGAUGCUAGCUGGCUGUUUUGCCCAUUAGUUGAUGCAGAUUCUUGUUUUUGUUGAUGCUCUUAAGUAUUUGGUAUGUUUUUAGAAUGGCUGGUACUGGUUGUUCCUUUCUAUGUGUAGUGCCUCUUUCAGGAGCUCUUGUAAAGCAGGCCUAGUGGUGACAAAAUCUCUGAGUACUUGCUUGUUUGCAAAGGAUUUUAUUUUUCCUUCACUUAUGAAGCUCAGUUUGGCUGGAUAUGAAAUUCUGGGUUGAAAGUUCUUUUCUUUAAGGAUGUUGAAUAUUGGCCCCCACUGAUGAGUUCAUGUCCUUUGUAGGGACAUGGACGAAUCUGGAGAACAUCAUCCUCAGCAAACUGACACAAGAACAGAAAAUGAAAUACCACAUAUUCUCACUCAUAGGCAGAUUCAAAGAGAUUCCUAAAAUCUCUUCUAUAUCUAAAAAGGAAGAAGGAGAAAAAUGGAAGGAAGAAGAAGGUUCUGGAGUACAUCUGCAGGAUGUGCAGGAGGAAUCUGUUUCAUAAAGCAGAGUUUGAGUUUGCCUUGAACUGAAGUCUGGAUGGAUUUGUCUUAAUCAAACUCUUUGUGCUGCGUGUGGUUAUUUCCUCUAGGAUAGAGGAACUUGCUUGCCUCUCAGGCCAGGUUUCCAGUUCCCUGAGUGUUUGUGCUUUGCAGGUAUUUAAGAGAGAAAGUGGAAGAGGCUAGAUGCCACUACAAGCUGAAAAGGAUUGUAUAAUCUUGGUAACCAACUUUUCUGAGAUUCUACAUUAUUUUAUGAAAUUGAUGUCCCAUAGUUGACUUAAUAAUUUCCCUAUUAUUGGCUGUUUAAUUUGUUUACACAUUUUUAUUGUCAUAAUAAAUAAUUCCAUAAUGAACACUUUGGGGCAUACACAUUUUAGAGGCUCAAAGCAGAGAUAGGUGGUCUGACACAGCCUGGGUAUGGCAGGGAUUUCUUCUUGUCCUGCAAUUUAUCUUUCUUCCACAGAAGUUCAGCCCCCUAACACAGUCUGGAAUAGAUAUUGAAUCUUCCAGUCUUUCUUUCUAGCAACUUCCUUUCCAUGUGACUAAGUUCUGAUCAAUGGCAUGCAAGUAAAAAUAAAAUGUGCAAACUGUGGGAACAUUAUUUGAAAGAAGGGGCUGUUUGCUUCAUCUCUUCCCCUUUUUCCAGUCUUCUACCUGGGAUAUGAAUGUGAUCUCUGGAUCCCCAAUUCCACUUUAUAUCAUGAGGUUGAGGCACGGCAAACUGGUUAGAUGGGAGGAGCUGGGGUCUCUCAUGUCUCAUGGGGCUGGCUUGUCAUGACAGGGCUGAGAUGCUUACAUGGGAACAAAUACAUUUCUAUCUUGUGUAGUACUUUUCUUUGCAUGUUUGUAGUUUGCAGCUGUACACAGUCC
This 1420-nucleotide long non-coding RNA is filed under the name Callithrix jacchus (white-tufted-ear marmoset). RNAcentral describes it as "lncRNA (ENSCJAG00000080748.1)". Lineage: Eukaryota; Metazoa; Chordata; Mammalia; Primates; Cebidae. The record is from RNAcentral.